Molecule: ribosomal RNA, 409 nt
Filed under: Cryptocercus punctulatus (brown-hooded cockroach)
Lineage: Eukaryota; Metazoa; Arthropoda; Insecta; Blattodea; Cryptocercidae
Description: 16S rRNA
Source: RNAcentral
UUACGCUGUUAUCCCUAAGGUAAUUUAGUCUUAUAGUCACUAAAAAUGGAUCAAAAAUAUAUAAAUAAAUAUAUAAAAAUAAAAAGAGUUAUAUUAAUCUUCCCAUCACCCCAACAAAAUUUACAUAAUAUUAAAUUAUUAACCCACAAAAAAUAUGAAAUUAAAUCAAACUCUAUAGGGUCUUCUCGUCCCAAAAAAAUAUUUAGGCAUUUUAACCUAAAAUUUAAGUUCAAAAAAAUAAAAAUUUAAGACAGUAAAUACCUUGUCAAAUCAUUCAUUCCAGCAUUCAAUUAAAAAACUAAUGAUUAUGCUACCUUUGCACAGUCAAAAUACUGCGGCCAUUUAAAAAUCAGUGGGCAGAUACUACAUCAAAAUAUAUACAAGAAGAGAUGUUUUUGUUAAACAGGCG